Molecule: non-coding RNA, 2503 nt
Organism: Erythranthe guttata (spotted monkey flower)
Lineage: Eukaryota; Viridiplantae; Streptophyta; Magnoliopsida; Lamiales; Phrymaceae
Source: RefSeq, a predicted model, not a curated record
AAUUGCAAUCGCGCAUCUGGCCGCCAGAUGUGGCCUACAAUUCUUGACUUAUUUUUCUCCUUUUUCUUUUUCUCUUUCUUCCUUUUUAUACAUCCUUCUUUUAAUGAGGGUUUUGAUGCGAGAGCGAGUCGGAGUUGGUGGAGGCACGGCAGCUAUCAGCGUGGGGGGAGGCGGCAGAUUCGGUGGCCUACACAUACAGUCCUCUUUUAUCGACGUUUUAUUAUUCUCUCCAAUGCAUUUCGCUUCCUCCAAUUCAAUUUCAAUUUUGUCGGUGUAUGAACGCAAACAUUAGGUAACACUUGGAAUUGAAAAAAAGAUAGGAUAUUUCGCAUAAAUCGCCGCCGGGGACUACAGACGGUCUGAGAAUUGUUCGUGCAGUAUUUGUUCGUUCCUUUGGCUUGAAUGGUUGUGUUUGUAGUCGCUUUUUCCCUUUCUUUCUUUUCGAUGUUCUUCUUUGAGGGUUUACUAUGGACCGAAUUGUGAAUAAACAUACGAGUCUUUGAGGAAUAAGUAUAGAAAAACAAUCUCCACCAAAGGUUUUUUUUAGCCCAUUUUUUCCCUUUUGUUUGCUCUUGUGAAGGUCUGUCUUAAUUCUCUGUUUGUAAAGUUUCAAUCUUUAUUUUGAUUUGUUUUUGUUUGUCUAUUGUCCUUACAAUAGUAAACUGCUUGUGCAGGAAAUUCAUUUUGUACACCACGAUUUUUGCUGAUGAAUCAACCAAAAGUUAAACGCGGAAUCGGGAAAUAUGAGAUUGGACGAACAAUUGGUGAGGGCACAUUCGCAAAAGUGAAACUUGCUAGAAUUCCAAGAUGGCUGAACAUGUGGCCCUCAAGCACAAAAUUGCUGAUCAGAUUAGACGGGAAAUAGCUACAAGGAAACUAAUAAAACAUACCACUGUUGUUCAGUUGUACGAGGGAGCAUCGACUGUUACAGGCGUAAAUUUCGAUCCUUAGCCUCAAUUCUUUUUAGUGUUGAUGAUUCGUCCAUUGGCUUUGGUGCUCCUGUUUGGGCAAAUAUGAGAACAAGAGGUGUUACAAGUGCCACUGUAACAUCAUAUUUCCUAGAAACUGUAAGCUUUAAUAAAUUACUCUAAACAUUAUAAUACUGGGCGGCGUCUGCCGCUUCCGACGUUAACGGACAUCGACGGCGCCGCUUCCGACGUUGACGGGCAUCGACGCCGCCGCUCCUGCCAACUACGCGAACGCUCGUAAUUUGAUCUCCAAUAUUCUAUCUCUUUCUUGAGCCGACGCUGCUGAGCCUGUUCUUCCCCCGCCGGUGUCGCCUCCAUCGUAGGUUUCAAUACAGCGGGAGCUGGAGUUGGUGGGGACGCCUUCCGUCAGUAGGUUUGGGAAAACAGGUGAGUUAAUGGAGGCUUAGCGGCGACCGCCGUCGGGGGAGCCGGUCGAGUUGGUGGCCAUUCUGAGGGGGAAACAGAGUUCGAUAGAUUUGCGGGAGUGGCUUGUACGUUCUCUACGCCACCGAUCCAACAAAACAAUUUGCCAUACCAGGCGAGCUCUCGAUCACAAACUCAAUUUCGAAUAUCACGAACUAUCCAUUGGUUAGAUUCAUUAUGUACUACGAGGAUGAGAUGAAACAAUCAUAAUGUCUAUUUUUCUACAAUUUUUUUGGACUUUUUGAUGUUGCUUUGUUAUUCCGUAGAAUCAAUGAGUUUUGAUUUAUUGAUUUUAUUUAUAUAAUUUCUUUAUAAUGAGUUGUGGAUUUAGGUUUUUAUUUUAUUUUAUUUUAUUCUAUUUUAUUUUUAAUUUUUUAAUUAUGUAUUGUGGAUUUAAUGGAAUGAGUUAGAAUUCGUCCUACAGGCAUUAUGAUGAAUUCUAACUCAUUCCAGUUACACUUUUUUAUCUGCAGCAAAGGCUCUGCUGAUCCGCCACCCCUCAGGCUAUGGCUGUCGUCUCAACUCGGAUGUGUGCCAGGUCAAUGUAAGAUUAUUAUCUGAGUUAUGCUGAUAGAAUAUAACCGCAGGCUCUUCCAUUUUGUCACGUGUUACACUGUUUUCGAAACCAAAACCGAAACAUUGGGUGAUCGGUAUAUGUUUUGGACCCUUAGUAAUGUGUUUAGUUGUUUAUUAUGUACAAAUAUUUUUAGAUGUGCAUAUGUUUUUGAUGGUUUUCUAAUGUGAGUUUCAGAUAUCUUAAAAAAAGAGGUUCGAAAGAUGUGAAUUUGCAAUUUUCUUUCCGAAAAUAAGGAUGUACAUUGAACUUGGCUUAAUACAAACAAAUCAUGUCAGCAAGCAUUCCAUGUUUAUGAGUAAUAUGUUUUCUGUUCGAUUUUUAGGAACGAGCUAUAGGGAGCUUUGAGCAUUACAUUAGCUUAUAUAGCAGGGACAAUUGCAACAGUUAUGGUGGUCUAUAAUGUAUUUUCUUUUAGUAUUUGUUUGUUUUCCUUGUACAUGUUUUGCAACAAUGAUUAUUCGUUUAUUUUUCGCAUAUUUCAUGCAAAAUGUUGACGUUUUGCUUCUGAUGUUUCUAAUUGGAAUGUUUUGUCACU